Molecule: long non-coding RNA, 135 nt
Organism: Podarcis raffonei (Aeolian wall lizard)
Lineage: Eukaryota; Metazoa; Chordata; Lepidosauria; Squamata; Lacertidae
Exons: 2
Source: RefSeq, a predicted model, not a curated record
CGAAGUUCUAACCGAAAACAGAAGGCGGCUGUCUUCUUCUUCUCCUCGGGGCGCCCCCUCUCCUCCUCAAGCGCUUCCUCACAGCCAGGGGCUUCAGCUUCUAGUGGCAACAGCGCAGGCAUCCGGAGCUGAAAA